ACCCCCUACGGGGCGCAGCAGUGGGGAAUAUUGGGCAAUGGGCGCAAGCCUGACCCAGCAACGCCGCGUGAAGGAAGAAGGCUUUCGGGUUGUAAACUUCUUUUCUUGGGGACGAAGAAAGUGACGGUACCCAAGGAAUAAGCCACGGCUAACUACGUGCCAGCAGCCGCGGUAAUACGUAGGUGGCAAGCGUUAUCCGGAUUUAUUGGGUGUAAAGGGCGUGUAGGCGGGCUUGCAAGUCAGAUAUGAAAACCACGGGCUCA
Molecule: ribosomal RNA, 263 nt
Filed under: uncultured bacterium
Lineage: Bacteria
Description: partial 16S ribosomal RNA
Rfam family: Bacterial small subunit ribosomal RNA
Source: RNAcentral